This 497-nucleotide ribosomal RNA is filed under the name uncultured bacterium. RNAcentral's name for it is "partial 16S ribosomal RNA". It matches the Rfam family "Bacterial small subunit ribosomal RNA", at positions 28 to 507 of the family's 1533-position model. The record is from RNAcentral.
GAUGAACGCUGGCGGCGUGCCUAAUACAUGCAAGUCGAGCGAACAGACGAGGAGCUUGCUCCUCUGACGUUAGCGGCGGACGGGUGAGUAACACGUGGAUAACCUACCUAUAAGACUGGGAUAACUUCGGGAAACCGGAGCUAAUACCGGAUAAUAUAUUGAACCGCAUGGUUCAAUAGUGAAAGACGGUUUUGCUGUCACUUAUAGAUGGAUCCGCGCCGCAUUAGCUAGUUGGUAAGGUAACGGCUUACCAAGGCAACGAUGCGUAGCAGACCUGAGAGGGUGAUCGGCCACACUGGAACUGAGACACGGUCCAGACUCCUACGAGAGGCAGCAGUAGGGAAUCUUCCGCAAUGGGCGAAAGCCUGACGGAGCAACGCCGCGUGAGUGAUGAAGGUCUUCGGAUCGUAAAACUCUGUUAUUAGGGAAGAACAAAUGUGUAAGUAACUAUGCACGUCUUGACGGUACCUAAUCAGAAAGCCACGGCUAACUACGUG